This 253-nucleotide ribosomal RNA is filed under the name uncultured bacterium. RNAcentral describes it as "partial 16S ribosomal RNA". It matches the Rfam family "Bacterial small subunit ribosomal RNA", at positions 524 to 776 of the family's 1533-position model. The record is from RNAcentral.
UACAGAGGGUGCGAGCGUUGUUCGGAAUUAUUGGGCGUAAAGGGUGCGUAGGCGGGUAAGUAAGUCCGUGGUGAAAUCUCUGAGCUUAACUCAGAAACUGCCGUGGAUACUAUUUGCCUUGAAUAUUGUGGAGGUGAGCGGAAUAUGUCAUGUAGCGGUGAAAUGCUUAGAUAUGACAUAGAACACCAAUUGCGAAGGCAGCUCACUACACAAUCAUUGACGCUGAGGCACGAAAGCGUGGGGAUCAAACAGG